CCUACGGGAGGCAGCAGUGAGGAAUAUUGGUCAAUGGACGAGAGUCUGAACCAGCCAAGUAGCGUGAAGGAUGACUGCCCUAUGGGUUGUAAACUUCUUUUAUAUGGGAAUAAAAUGCUCCACGUGUGGGAUUUUGUAUGUACCAUAUGAAUAAGGAUCGGCUAACUCCGUGCCAGCAGCCGCGGUAAUACGGAGGAUCCGAGCGUUAUCCGGAUUUAUUGGGUUUAAAGGGAGCGUAGGUGGUUUGUUAAGUCAGUUGUGAAAAUUUGCGGCUCAACCGUAAAAGUGCAGUUGAAACUGGCAGACUUGAGUACGGUAGAGGUAGGCGGAAUUCGUGGUGUAGCGGUGAAAUGCUUAGAUAUCACGAAGAACUCCGAUUGCGAAGGCAGCGCACUGGACUGCAACUGACACUGAGGCUCGAAAGUGUGGGUAUCAAACAGGAUUAGAUACCCUAGUAGUC
This 460-nucleotide ribosomal RNA is filed under the name uncultured bacterium. RNAcentral describes it as "partial 16S ribosomal RNA". It matches the Rfam family "Bacterial small subunit ribosomal RNA", at positions 338 to 795 of the family's 1533-position model. The record is from RNAcentral.